GUCCCGAUAGCACAAUGGAUCGUGCAGUAGCCUUCUAAGCUAUUGAUCCAGGUUCGAUCCCUGGUCGGGGCACCA
This 75-nucleotide transfer RNA is filed under the name Patescibacteria group bacterium. RNAcentral describes it as "tRNA-Arg". It matches the Rfam family "tRNA". From Rfam's summary of the family: Transfer RNA (tRNA) molecules are approximately 80 nucleotides in length. Their secondary structure includes four short double-helical elements and three loops (D, anti-codon, and T loops). Further hydrogen bonds mediate the characteristic L-shaped molecular structure. tRNAs have two regions of fundamental functional importance: the anti-codon, which is responsible for specific mRNA codon recognition, and the 3' end, to which the tRNAs corresponding amino acid is attached (by aminoacyl-tRNA synthetases). tRNAs cope with the degeneracy of the genetic code in two manners: having more than one tRNA (with a specific anti-codon) for a particular amino acid; and 'wobble' base-pairing, i.e. permitting non-standard base-pairing at the 3rd anti-codon position. The record is from RNAcentral.